Molecule: unclassified non-coding RNA, 410 nt
Filed under: Hevea brasiliensis (rubber tree)
Lineage: Eukaryota; Viridiplantae; Streptophyta; Magnoliopsida; Malpighiales; Euphorbiaceae
Source: RNAcentral
AUCUUGGUGUCAAAGCUGCUAAGGCAUAUAGCAAAUGCCUGGAAAGCAGAGAUAGGAUAUUGAUAAUCCAUAGUGAACACAUCCUUUCCCACUUUUCCAAACUGAAGUACUACGUUCUCAUGCUCUUGCCUGCCAACUCCAUUCUCUGCAGAAGCAACCAGCUGAAAGUUCUUAACUGAAGCAACAGUCACCCGCCCAUUGAAGUUCAGACACCAACACUGGAGUUGUUCAUGCCACCUGGGUGCCUUGUUCCUUAACACUAGCAUUUCAUCCUUGUAGCCAGCCAAAGGACCAGAUUGGAAAUUCUCUGCUCGGGUGGAUUUUGAUCUGAAAAAGGGAAGUGAUGGAAAGGAAUCCAACUUGGUAUGCAGAAAUUCAGUCUGCGUAGGGGCCACUCCACCAGGUUCAAU